GAAUUUUGUGGAAACUUUCAAGGA
This 24-nucleotide non-coding RNA is filed under the name Arabidopsis thaliana (thale cress). Lineage: Eukaryota; Viridiplantae; Streptophyta; Magnoliopsida; Brassicales; Brassicaceae. The record is from RNAcentral.